This 390-nucleotide unclassified non-coding RNA is filed under the name Hevea brasiliensis (rubber tree). Lineage: Eukaryota; Viridiplantae; Streptophyta; Magnoliopsida; Malpighiales; Euphorbiaceae. The record is from RNAcentral.
GUCUUCAAAUUUCAAAGCUUUAAUCCUAAUUUUCUCCAUGGCUGGAGCUGCCACCUUCAUAUUCUCCUCCAGAAACUUCAUCACGAUUCUUUCCAUUUCCUCAUCCAACUUCCCUUUCUCCCUCAAGACCCUAACCAUCUCACUCAACUUAAUAAUGGCGUGCAAUUUAAUCCCAUUCACCUCCAAAUUCUCUUUCCCACCUUGUUCCCUAUCUAUCAAAACGACAGCAUCAGUGACGUUCAAUCCCGCAGCACGCAAAGGAGUGGCGGGCUCGAGAACGGAGGUGCCGCUGGUGACGAGAUCCUCGACAAUAAGGCAAGUUUGGCCGCUCUGGAAAACGCCUUCAAUAGCCUUAGCGGUGCCAUAGUCUUUAACCUCCUUGCGGCGCAU